CCUACGGGUGGCAGCAGUGGGGAAUAUUGCGCAAUGGGCGAAAGCCUGACGCAGCGACGCCGCGUGAGGGAUGAAGGUCUUCGGAUCGUAAACCUCUGUCAGCAGGGAAGAAAGGUCACUGAGCUAAUCAGCAGUGAAUUGACGGUACCUGCAAAGGAAGCACCGGCUAACUCCGGGCCAGCAGCCGCGGUAAUACGGAGGGUGCGAGCGUUACUCGGAAUUACUGGGCGUAAAGCGCUCGUAGGCGGGAUGGCAAGUCAAGGGUGAAAUCCCCGCGCUUAACGUGGGAACUGCCUUUGAAACUGGCAAACUAGAGUGUGUGAGAGGUUAGUGGAAUUCCAGGUGUAGGGGUGAAAUCCGUAGAUAUCUGGAGGAACAUCCGUGGCGAAGGCGACUAUCUGGCACAUAACUGACGCUGAUGAGCGAAAGCGUGGGUAGCAAACAGGAUUAGAUACCCUGGUAGUC
This 465-nucleotide ribosomal RNA is filed under the name uncultured bacterium. RNAcentral describes it as "partial 16S ribosomal RNA". It matches the Rfam family "Bacterial small subunit ribosomal RNA", at positions 338 to 795 of the family's 1533-position model. The record is from RNAcentral.